CGAGUUCGAUUCUCGGAAUGCCCCUCCUUGUUUUUGGUAUCCAAAUCCAAAAACAUUGAGAAGAAAAUCUGGCCUGUAUCUGUCCUAAAGUCAACCGUAGACUUCUAAGUUCCAGCUUUUCCUGUUCUGUCUCAAGAACUAAAAUCAAUGGCCCUGUAAUCUGCCCUGAAGUCAACUACAGAACUUCAAGUCCCUAGCGUCCCAACUUCCUUGUCUGCUCAGAGAUUUCAGUAACCUAUUCAAUAUGGAUUUGAUUUCCUAGAAUAAAGUUAAAAUAAUGUAGCAAUGUGAUUUGUCCUAAAGUCAACUGUAGAACAAUAUGACAUUUUCAUAAGUGCACACUUAUUUUAUUUUCUGAUAAGCUCCUAACUAGCAUGUAAAAAGCUAGUGACUUUGCAAUCAAGGUGAGCAAUUUAGAAACAUAACAUUUAACCCAGUAAUCAAUAAAAAAGACAGCCAUCUCAACUUUUCCAAAUAACUGUGGAUGUCAAACAGUGCAACAAAUUACAUGAAAAUGGCAAAUAAAAUUCAAAGAAAAGCAAUAAACGAAAUCUGCAAGCAAGAAAAGGAAACACACUGAUUCAUUGCUAACUGAAACCUUAUUUAUCCAAUGCUUACCUGUCCCAAACACAUUUUUCAACAGUACCUUGAGAAAGAAAAGGUUGCAGAGUUUAUUCUAUGGCUAGACACUUGAAUAGUAAAACUGGUGAACUCAGUGGCAUUAUAUUCAGUUUCAAUUCCAAGAUUAUCAGUGAAUCACCCAAGACCCAACACCAAGAAAAGGGCAGCUGGUGGGAAAGAUAUCCUAAAACAAGCAAAAAGCAGCACAAUGGAUAUGUACGUUAACUUUCCCUUUUCCAAUCCCCAUAGGGAAAUUAUUAAAACUUACAAACUAGUAAUUGCAUCACCAUCAACACAGAUGGCACAUCAUUGGUAUCAACAAAUGGGCAUUUGGUCUAGUG
Molecule: unclassified non-coding RNA, 962 nt
Filed under: Hevea brasiliensis (rubber tree)
Lineage: Eukaryota; Viridiplantae; Streptophyta; Magnoliopsida; Malpighiales; Euphorbiaceae
Source: RNAcentral